Molecule: ribosomal RNA, 3063 nt
Filed under: Ambystoma mexicanum (axolotl)
Lineage: Eukaryota; Metazoa; Chordata; Amphibia; Caudata; Ambystomatidae
Description: eukaryotic LSU rRNA
Rfam family: Eukaryotic large subunit ribosomal RNA (bases 540-3060)
Source: RNAcentral
AAGAAGUUUCCUGGAGGAUCUUCUCUGUCGUCCGAUUUGGAGAUUCGGACCUGCAGCAGGGCUUCACCGGGCGGUUCAGUCAUUGUAGGGGUCCUCUUCUUCCAGUUCCUCAUUGGUUCUUUCGUUCCAGUGGCGACUCUGUCUUUCCAGUCCCAGAGACCUGCUCUUUAUGCAGUUUUCCCCCAUUCAUACAGCCUGGCUGUCAAUCACACAGGCGGGUGGCUGGCCUGGCAAGACCAGUCCCCUUAGCCAAUCAGACAAGAGUGUGACUUGGGCUACCAAGUCAACCCAUGGUAGGGUUCUGAAGAUCCCUCCCUCACAUGCUGCAUACCUAGACUAUCAGGCACCUUAAGGAGGGCUUCUGUGCAGAAGCCCGUGAAAAGACAGCGAACAAAGGAGUCAUCCCCGGUUUGGCGCACAGAGAAAAGCACGAGAAAGACUUUAACAAAAAGAAAUGGUGAAUAAACCCAGCCGGAACAAAAAUAAAAUGUAUUUGGUCAAGCGGGUUUUAUGUUCGAGUCUAAUAUAAUAGCCUAAAACAUUACCACGUUAUAUGAGAUAAUCACGGUAGAAAAGUUAGGGUAGAUACCACUGCCACCAGCCAAGUCUUAAUGUUAAGGGAGCGAAACAAUGCCCCAAGAGGUACAGACAAAAAGGGAUAAGAGUUAACCCUUUCCAAUACUCCAUGUAAGAUGGGAUGUACUGGGCCUGUGGUUUAAAGUGACUGUAUAAAGUUAAUGGCAACUUUACCUGUUUCUGGGGGACAGUAGUCAGCCCCUAGAAAAAUGGAGUCAGUGGGAAGUCUCAAAGACAACCCUGUGUCACUGCACUGAAGGUGCUGUGUAACAGACACAAAAAAGUGGUGCACAUGGAGUAGGUGAGGCUCCAGUGCCCAAGAUCACACAGAAAGUAGAAAUACACACAACAAAACACAUGUAAGAGUGGGAAAAAAGGCUCACACUUUACCAGGUAAAAAAAAUGAAUCUAGAAAUCCAGCAAAGCUGCUGGGGGACUCUUUAGGUAAGGGAAAUCAUCUAUUUAUGAGAAUUCUCCCUAACACCAGUCAGUAACUUUUAUUAAGCAGAACUGACACUGCGGGAUGAACCAAAUGCUGGGUUAAGGCCCACGAUGCUGAAGCUCAUCAGACCCCAGAAAAGGUGUUGAUUGAUAUAGACAGCAGGAUGGUGGCCAUGGAAGUCGGAAUCUGCUAAGGAGCCCCGGGGAGAGUUCUCUUUUCUUUGAGAAGUGCUCGGCACCCUGGAUUGGUUUUGCCCUGAGAGAGGGGCCAAAGCCCUGGAAAGCGUUGCGGUUCCGGCGGCGUGCAGUGAGCUCUCGCUGGUCCUUGAAAAUCCGGGAAGAUGGUGUAAAUCUUCGCGCCGGGCCAUAUCCAUAUCCACAGCAGGUCUCCAUGGUGAACAACCUCUGGCAUGCCGGGCCGUACCCAUAUCCGCAGCAGGUCUCUAAGGUGAACAGCCUCUGGCAUGUUGGAACAAUGUAGGUAAGGGAAGUUGGCAAGUCAGAUCUGCAACUUCUGGAUAAGUAUUGGCUCUAAGGGCUAGGUCGGUCGGGCUGGGGUGCAAAGCGGGGCUGGGCGUGCGCCGUGGCUGAAUGAGGCGUCACACCCUCCCUCCCCCUGGGGUGCUGUCGAGUCUGGAUGCGAGCCGGGCCCUGCAGGUGGAUCGCCCCAGCUGCGGAGGUCACCUCUAUCUGUUCCCCUCCUGGGGUUCGGGUCUGACGUUCUGCUUCAGCCGACGCCCAGCACCUGACUUGGAACUGUUGCAGACCAGGGGAAUAUGACUAUUUAAUUAAAACCGCAUCGGGAAGGCCUGCGGUGGGUGUUGACGCAAUGUGAUUUCUGCCCGGUGCUCUGAAUGUCAAACUGAAGAAAUUCAAAUAACCGCGGGUAAACGGCAGGAGUAACUAUGACUCUCUUAAGGUAGUCAAAUGCCUUGUCAUCUAAUUAGUGAUGCGCAUGAAUGGAUGAACGAGAUUCCCACUGUUCCUACCUACUCAUGUAGCGAAACCACAGCCAAGGGAACAUGCUUGGCAGAAUCAGCGGGUAAAUAAGACUCAGAUGAGCUUGCCUCUAGUCUGGCACUGUGAAGGGACAUGCAAGGUGUAGGAUAAGUGGAAGACCCUCGGGCCACCGGUGAAAUACCACUACUCAUCAUUUUUUCACUUACCCGGUGAGGUGGGGGCAGAGCCCGUGGGGCUCUCACUUCUGGCGUGCAUGACCCGCUCUGGGGACAGUGGCAGUUGGGGCGUUUGACUGCGGCGGUACAUUUGUCAAACAAUAACGCAGGUGUCCUAAGGCAAGCUAAGGGAGGACAGAAACCUCCCGCAGAGCAGAAGGGCAAAAGCUCACUUGAUCUCGAUUUUUCAGUAUGAAUACAGACUGUGAAAGUGGGGACUCAUGAUCCUUCUGACUUUUGGGUUUCACGCAGGAGGUGUCAGAAAAGUUACCACAGGGCUAACUGGUUUGUCGUGGCCAAGCUUCAUAGUGACAUCGCUUUUUGAUCCUUUGAUGUCGGCUCUUUCUAUCAUUGUGACGGAGAAAUUCACCAAGCGUUGGAUUGGUCACCCACUAAUAGGGAACGUGAGGUGGGUUUAGACUGUCAUGAGACAGGUUAGUUUUACUCUACUGAUGAUGUGUUGUUGCAAUAGUAAUCCUGCUCAGUGCAAGAGGAACCGCAGUUUCAGACAUUUGGUGCAUGUGCUUGGCUGAGGAGCCAAUGGGGCGAAGCUACCAUCUGUGGUGUUAUGACUGAACCCCUCUAAGUCAGAAUCACCCCUAAACUGUAAUGAUACCGCAUCGCUGUCGAGCCUCAGUUGGCUUAGCAUAGCUGGCUUCUGGGCCGUGUGUAGAGCCGCUCGCCUCGGGACUCGAGUGUGGACAGAAGGGGGGCCACCUCUCUCGCCCGUAGUGUAGCGCAUGUUUUGUGGGGAACCUAGUGCUAAAUCAUUCGUAGAUGACCUGAUUCUAGUUCAGGGUUUCGUAAGUAGCAGAGCAGCUACCUUGCUGCGAUUUAUUGAAAGUCAUCCUCUGAACCAAGCUUUUGUCAC